UGAAUGUACAUCAGAUUUUAAAUGCAGAUUAUACGCUUAUCUUGCCAGCUGCUGUUAGCCUGGAAUUUUCCUCGGGUAUCUAUUGUGGUGGAAUGAUAUUAUUUAAGAAGUUUAAAAAAAAAAAAAAGUCAUUCAGAAUAAUUUCAAGUCUAUGUUAGGAGCUCAGUUGUGUACAUAGCGCUGCUUUUGGCUUUCUGCUGUACCCUGGAACUGCCAUGCACUUUGGUCUUGCAGCAUCUGGUACCAAACUUUGCCUUUUCAGGGGUCAUAGGGAACCAGUUAUUACCUAAGCAUAAGAGUAUUUGACGUUAAUUAGCAGUGUUUUGACAGUCCAGAAUGGGUACAGAGAGCACUUCAGGUGUCUGUGUUAAGAGUCGGUUGCUGCUCUAAGUGCAGGUAAGCUUCCUCAGCAGGGCAGUUUGGUUGAGAAUGACAGCAUCUUAUUAGAUAGCUAUGCGUGUAUUUAAACCUUGGCACGUUACUCACCUGGCAUAGGUAUUAAUUUUCACUUGAAAAGUUCUACAUUUGGCUUAGAAAAUGUAUUAUUAAGAAGAAAUGCUCAAACUUCUUUCCAUUUUCUUUGAUUCUGAAGCGCAGCUAAUGCUGUCCAUAAACUAAUGGCUCUGAAGAACAUUGCCCAGGGGAAGGUAUCUCACUUAAUGCCACAGAUGAUGCAAAGAACAGGGCAGAUCAGAUCAGAGAAAUUAAAAAUCAGGAGGAAAAUAGGUCAGGAGAAUAAAGAGAGGUCCUUAAGCUAUUUAAAAGUAAGCAUUUAUCAUUCGUUACUGCAGAUAUAUUCUGCUCUGAAGCGUAAAUUACCAGGCUCCAUUACGGUGUAACUGUGGGCAAAUGCUACCUUCAGUGCAACUGAGUUUAGCAGAUUCCUGUAAGUAGGUGUAAUUAUUAACCUCAUUGAAGGAGUAUGUAGCUAGUCAGAAGGGAAUGUGUUUGUUCGUUUGUUUCAAAUAAACGUUGUCAUUCUGGGUCAUCAGCUUCUUGCAGUGGAAGUGAUAGCGGGAGUGCUUGGCUCUCGCAGCCCCCUGCACUGAGUGCUCUUCUCCAGGGGAGUGCAGCUUGGUGAAGAAAGCAGUGGCAGCCCUGGCAGGGCACAGCAUGGAUCUGAAUUGUUCACAAGCUGUUAUGCAGUCAUUAGUUUCUCUUAGUCAUCUCAGUCUUCUUUCUGCCCCUUGGUUUUCACGAUGCCACGGCUUCUGUCUAGACCUUCCUUCUCUCUUCACUUGCUCCGUCUGUGACAGCAGCCAGCCUGGAAUGGAGUUUCAUGCUGCUCAGAGCAGUAGGUAGGAAUCUAUAAUUAUUUCAGAAAUAACAUGUUACACAGUGUGAUUUAGUCAUACUUUGACACACCUCUGUCUGCCAAGAAAUAGGCAGGCACUACCUUAUAAAGCUGUUGCUGAGAGCAAUCCUUCAGGCUCAGGGAGCACAAAGCUGCUUCAUUGUAUGGAUAGCUGCAGGAGUCAGCAGCAGGGUUUGGGGCUGGGGCCUGCAGAGACCUUAAAGCACGCAAAUCUGUUGCCUGAAUUAGAGGUUGUGCUUCUGCCUAGGGGAUGUAUCCCCACGCAGAAAUAGCUCAGGACAUAAGCUGGUAAAUUUAAGACUGUUUGGAAAGUGAUUUUAUUUCCAUUUCCAGCCUUUAAAAAGCAUCCUUGUCGCUCUUGUGAGCCUUUUGGAACAUUCACCAUCAACCAGUUCUUUCCUAGUAUGAGACAGUUGCAUUUUGAAGGUACAUCUGUCUACAGUCUUAAUUACAAUAGCAACAUACAAUUUUCAGGGUACAAACGGCUGUAUAAACACGUCCCUACUCAGCCACACUAUCCCUUCCUCAGGAGUAUUUCUCAUCUGAGAAUCUCCUAUACUUAUUUAUUCCUCUUAUCAUACAGAAGACUAAAAAGCCCAGUGUCCUUUAAGGUCCCCCAGUAUGCAGUGUCAGGAGGUCUGUGGCGUAUUUGCACAGGCAGUCGGCUUUAUUUCACAGUAACACAUUUAAUUUUGUUAGUUACUUAGUUACUUGUAAUAGGCAGUCAUAACACUCGUAGGUAGCAUCGUGACUCACUGUAAAAUGACUGCAACAAAGCGCUGUCAUUUUGUCGCUGCAUUAUAGCAGACAGAACCAGAUCUCUCAGGAGUGUGCUGAGUUAUUUCUCGAAGGCCAAGGGACACGUCCUCCCUGGGAGAGGUCACCUUGUCCUCAGUGCCUGGAAGCUUUUUGUCAAAGAUUCUGGUGCUGUGUAACCUUCCCCGUUCUGUUUGCAGAUCGGCAGUAUAAUUCUUCACACCUAUUGCAAAUACAGGAUGGGAGAGGUGUCUCAUGGGAAAAAUAAUAAGAAAUACAAAAUCAUAGCUCUGCCAUGUUUUGAAAGUGCUUUAGGUUGGUGAGUGGAUAAAUGAAAGCUCAACUCUGUGGAGAUGUAAGUGUAAUUUAAUCCACUUUCAGUCUCUGUCCUUGAGUUAGUGUUCAGCCUUCUGAGAGCCGUUUCUUCCUUUUGAGCCCUUUGUGUAUGAGCCGUGUGUGUUUGUUCAGCCACUGCUGUUGCAUGACCACCUCCACCCAGCCCUGAGUCCAAAGGUUCACCAGUUUCCUUUAGCUCAUAAAUCUGAAGGUGGGUGAGAUAAGGCAGGCUCUGCAAACUGCGCUCUGUUUUAAUGAUAUGGUUAUUGCUUAAGAUCCAGUGCUCUGCAAGUCAAAGAUACAAAAUGCAUUGCAAUUUAAAGUUCAAUUAUUCUGUUAUUACUGUUUGAAACUGUAGUUGGCACUCGUAUUAUUAAUUUAGAAAGUAAGGGAUGUAAGAGGUAGGCAGGCAGUCAUUAUAUCACGUACGUUUAUGUCCACACACAUUCUCACUUUCACCAAAGGAAAUUAGGGCUACCGAAGGCACAAGUAACUUUGGACUGAUGCUCUCCUGCCUUAGAUAGAGCUGAUAUACAGAAGGGGAAGCCAGAAUGAGCCAGCAGCAGCCGUCUUCUUCCAUCGCUCUGCAUUAGUGGACCUACACUUGUAAGAAACACUGCUGUUGUAAGUCAGAAUGGCUUCAGAAACAUGCCUUCCUAACACAGUGCCUCUAUAAACUCUUGUUUAAGGCAAAGCACAAGAGUUAGUAGCAUUUCUCACAUUUUGGUGUAAUGAAUUCAGUCCAUGAAACCAUGGAAUGACAAAGGCAAUCUGCAAAAACAGGCAGUGUUUACCUGAAAUAUUUAAUUUUAAGAAUACACCAUGAUUCAAAAAACUGAAGGGAGUAUAAACUGGGGCACAAAAUGUUCAAGAACUAUUAAAUCACUGUCAUUCUAAUCUCUUUUAAUUGUUCACCAGAUAAUAGCUGUUGGAAACAGAAAGACAAAAACCAAGCAUGCUGAGUCAGAUGUGGGUCACUGUCUCCUGAAAUGCAGCUGUCAGGAGCUGGUUUCCAGGUUUGGAAAAGAAACAUUGCUGGGGAGGAAUCCAAUGAAUUUAUUAAUGAGCUGGUGAAAAGCUGCUGAAGGACAGCUGGAUAUUUGGUGCCAACUGGAAAUUCCUGAUUUCAGAGAACAGCCCUGGUUCAGGAAAGAAACCAGCCAAGAAGCUCUACUAUAAAUUAAAAUGUGAGCUCCUAGAAACCAUUUCCUGACGGGACUCAGGUACUUUACCUUUGCCAUUCCUGUAAAACAUCAGCUGCAUACAUCAGACUGAUGGCGUCAGGUGGUUUUCCAUAAAAAUCCUGUCUGUGCUGUGCUUCAUUUGCUUUAUUUUUGCUCUAACCCAAGAAACAAGUCAGCAGCUUCAAGAGUCAGCUGACACUGAGUCCUUUCCCAGCAAAGCCUACUGUUAACCAUGUGCAGCUCCAGCCAUAUUUGUAGGUAAUUUCAUUCUGUUUUUUUUAAUAAUAACUACUUUGCUUUACUUUUUCCAGUUUAAUUGGGAUUUUAUUUCAUAGCAUUAGUUUUUGGCCUUGUAAAACAAUGAGGUAUUUGAAACUAUUUAGGGGCAAGUAUUCUCACUGUGAUGGGGCACGUGGAUUGAAAUGCACAGCAAUUCUCUGUUUCACUGAGAAGGCGUGGGUUCAUAACACAGAGUUUACUAGAUGGGUGUGUCCACUGGUACAGUACCUAUUUGUUGGUAUUUGCUAUAGAAGAACUUUGGCUGGCUGCUGUUCUUUUCAUUCUGCAGCACGUUUCUAAACAACAUUCCACGGUGUUUUAGAGCUUGACUAAGAGGUCUCCUGGGGAAAAAUAAGAUCACCUUUUAACUGAUUUCAGCACAGCUGGCUUCUCUUUAAUCCUACAAUGAUGUUGUACCUCAUACUAGCAAGUGUUUUAAUGGGAAAGUUUGUACUUCAUGUGACUUAAAACCGUAUUUCCUCUCCUCUGAGCUCUCUUUGGCUGGAAAUGCAUAGGCUUUCGAGAAAAAAAUAAGUUAGGUGCAUUUUUGUGCAAUGCAGCAGUUUCUCCACUUUCGCUAACCCUCAUUUUUGUAGCUGAUAGAACAGAGCAGGGACCGUCUGAGCACGUGCCGUAAUCCCCAACGGGCUGCAGUCCAGAUAUUCACGCAUCCCCGCUGAAAAGCAUCACCACGCCGAGCCCCCUUACGCUCAGCUCCGCUCGUGCGUCCCCGGCGCGGAGGCGGUGCCGGGCGGCUCCUCCCUUCCGC
Molecule: long non-coding RNA, 4639 nt
Filed under: Gallus gallus (chicken)
Lineage: Eukaryota; Metazoa; Chordata; Aves; Galliformes; Phasianidae
Description: lncRNA (ENSGALG00010015263.1)
Source: RNAcentral